CAGCCGCCGCGGGAACACGAAGGGGGCUAGCGUUGCUCGGAAUGACUGGGCGUAAAGGGCGCGUAGGCGGCGAUCAAAGUCUGGCGUGAAAUUCCUGGGCUCAACCUGGGGGCUGCGCUUGAUACUUGGUUGCUUGAGUGGGGAAGAGGGUCGUGGAAUUCCCAGUGUAGAGGUGAAAUUCGUAGAUAUUGGGAAGAACACCGGUGGCGAAGGCGGCGACCUGGUCCUUGACUGACGCUGAGGCGCGAAAGCGUGGGGAGCAAACAGGAUUAGAUACCCCUGUAGUCCCUGUCUCUUAUAC
RNAcentral lists this ribosomal RNA (301 nucleotides) under uncultured bacterium. RNAcentral's name for it is "partial 16S ribosomal RNA". It matches the Rfam family "Bacterial small subunit ribosomal RNA", at positions 509 to 807 of the family's 1533-position model. The record is from RNAcentral.